CCUACGGGAGGCAGCAGUGAGGAAUAUUGCGCAAUGGGGGGAACCCUGACGCAGCGACGCCGCGUGAGUGAGGAAGGCCUUCGGGUCGUAAAGCUCUGUCAAGAGGGAAGAAGUGCACUAUGGUUAAUACCCGUAUUGCUUGACGGUACCUCUAAAGGAAGCACCGGCUAACUCCGUGCCAGCAGCCGCGGUAAUACGGAGGGUGCGAGCGUUGUUCGGAAUCACUGGGCGUAAAGGGCGCGCAGGCGGUUUGGCAAGUCAGAUGUGAAAUCCCAUGGCUUAACUGUGGAAGUGCAUUUGAAACUGCCAGGCUUGAGUACCAGAGGGGAAAGUGGAAUUCCCGGUGUAGAGGUGAAAUUCGUAGAUAUCGGGAGGAAUACCGGUGGCGAAGGCGACUUUCUGGCUGGAUACUGACGCUGAGGCGCGAAAGCGUGGGGAGC
This 440-nucleotide ribosomal RNA is filed under the name uncultured Desulfobulbus sp. RNAcentral's name for it is "bacterial SSU rRNA". It matches the Rfam family "Bacterial small subunit ribosomal RNA", at positions 338 to 769 of the family's 1533-position model. The record is from RNAcentral. Lineage: Bacteria; Pseudomonadati; Thermodesulfobacteriota; Desulfobulbia; Desulfobulbales; Desulfobulbaceae.